Non-coding RNA from Aedes albopictus (Asian tiger mosquito), 46 nucleotides. Lineage: Eukaryota; Metazoa; Arthropoda; Insecta; Diptera; Culicidae. The record is from Rfam.
AAAACGGCCCUUCUCAGGGCCACAAAUUUGUUUGAAUACAAAAAGA